AGACAGGUAAGCUAUAUAAGCUAAUGGGUUCAUACCCCACUGAUAGAGAAUACUCUCCUUUCUA
RNAcentral lists this transfer RNA (64 nucleotides) under Japyx solifugus. RNAcentral's name for it is "tRNA-Met". The record is from RNAcentral. Lineage: Eukaryota; Metazoa; Arthropoda; Diplura; Dicellurata; Japygidae.